RNAcentral lists this unclassified non-coding RNA (346 nucleotides) under Hevea brasiliensis (rubber tree). Lineage: Eukaryota; Viridiplantae; Streptophyta; Magnoliopsida; Malpighiales; Euphorbiaceae. The record is from RNAcentral.
GACAGCUUUUUGGCAAUGCACAAAGCAGACCAUCUCCAUCUGGGUGAACUACCAUUCUAUAAGGCACGUCAGAACCAAGUCCAAGCUUAGCUACAGGCUGAGCAGAUAGAGAAUUGGAGGCGAAAUCAAAUUGAGCGAGAACAAUAGCGUUGGGGAUGCCGCUGCAACCUUCUCCACCACCUCCGGCCAGAACGACGUAGUAUUGAUCGGAGAUCUCCUGCUGAGUGGAUUCAUUGCCUGAAUCUUCAUCUUUGUCGUCGGAUUGUUGGCGGUCGUGAGAUUGAAGCUUGGAUCUGAGUUCCUUGAAGGGAACCCAACCAGAAGAGUAGAAAGGGACGCCGUAUUU